UGACCAUUGAGUUACGUUUUUAAGUUCAAUGACUAAGUAGUAACAUAGGGCAAAUUUCAGUGACCAUUCAUAUAAUUAACCCAUUUCUCAUACCUUCUUCACCUCUUCUCUUUGCCUCACAUUCGUUUCUCCCUUUUCAAACUACAGAAGAACCUCAAAAUCUACCGACAACCAUAAAAAAUUCCCCACAGAUCUCGUUUAUCUCAGCCCUUAAUUUGUUCUUCCUCUUUCGAACUAUACGAGAACUUCAAAAUCAAAAGAAAACCCUAAAAAAAUCACCACAGAUCUCGUUUACAUCUGAGAAAUUGGAAUCCUCAGAGGACCUCUUCCUCUUCUUUUGUAUUGUUGUUGACGAAGUGCUGUGGAGGGAAGCUAUUCUACUUUCUUCAUCGCCGUUUGAUUGCAAGUUCACUACACAGACAAUUAGCCACAGAAAAAGUUUAGGUUUUUCAAUAUUUUUUACGAAUCUUGCUCGUUCCUUUAUUUUGUACUUUCUACUUACUUGGGCAUUUUUCUUGGUCAAGCGCUUCAACUCCUAAAAAGCUUAUUCACACAAAUUUGAUAUUCUCAAGAGUUGAUAUUCUUAAGAGAUGAUGUGGCCGAGUUUAAAAGAAAAUCAUCACUCAUGAUUCACACAUGGGCCUCUCCACUGCAUCACCAGUAAGUGGUUUUAUUUUUCUUGAAUAUAUAUUUUGUAUAUUAUUUUACUGGUGGUAUGGAUCCAAUAUUUGGUAUUCUGAUUGGACAUGAGAUAUAGUUGAACCCAGUGAUGUGAAUUUUCUGGAGUACUAUGAAAUUUUGAGAGUAGAAUGAGGUGUUAGGUUGGAUUGUAUUGGGGAGAUGUGGAACAUUAUCCUUUGGUGUAAUUGUGAUAUUGGUUUUGUACGAUCUACUAUGAUACCACUAUGAUUGGAGGACUUGUAAUAGUAUUUGACUUAUAUAAACCAUAAUCUGUAAUUGAUUGAAUGGGGGAAGCAAUGUAACAAUUCUUUAAAAGUAGAUACAUGUACUCGGGUUCUGGGGAGGAUCAUUGUUAUGGCAACUCUGCUUUCUUGUAUUAUCAUAUGCCUUCCAUAUUAUAUUUUCAGGGAUAUCACUAUUUCGUAGAGUUAGAGACCAAUCCGUGCAACUGAAAAAGUUGUGGUAUUAAAUUCAAUCAGUACAAAUAUUAUCUUAUUUGAAAUUUCAUUGAAGAGAAGAAUCAAAAAGCAUUUAGUUGGUUGAAGUUCACAACAUGGUACAUGAUGAAAGAAAUCUUUUGUUGGGAUAUAUUUGGAGGUUUCAUAUGCUUGUCUUUUUAACUUAUAAGUGGGAAUUAACUCAAUAAAAGUCUUCUGUGGUGAGGUUAAGCAGCAAUGUUGUUAGAUUGUCAAACUAUACGUUGUUUUUUGCUCUUUUUUUUACCCCUUCUGCUGCACGGAAUCCCAUACUUAUUCUCUUGAUAGUUUAUUAAGGGAAAUAUGAUUCCUGCCUAUUCUAUUGAAUCCCAAGCCAACUUGUUUGUAAUUGUUCCAUUUGUGUCGUCGAUCCAAUUGUGUCGUGGUAUUGGUUUCUAAAUGAAUUUUAUAUCUUAUAUUCACCACUGUUUUUGUGGGAAUUGCUUGUAGAUUGCUUGAAACCAAAAUGUAUCAUUUGCUUAUGCAUUGUGUCAUAAAUGUGCCAGCCUGAAAGAAAUACAUUUAUUGUGUUCAGAACUACUUUGAAAUUUCCAGUUCGUCGUGUUUAACAUUUGGUCAAGCUUUAAUAAAACAAUGCAUAUGUUGCAAAAUGAAUGUAAAAAAAGAUUUUAUUCUUUUCAAGAAACUCAAUAUUGAGCAAUUUUUAAGUUUUUAUUCCUCAGUAUUUUAUCAACGUAUCGUUGUUUUGAAAGAGUAUAUAGCGUCUCAAUCUCUGGACCCGCUGUAACCUGUGGUUCAAUGGUAAUUUUCAUGCAUGUGUGCUUAUUCUUAUCGAUAUUUUAUGCUGACUUAUUCUGAAAUUGUGUAUUAUUUUGACCAACUACCUUGUUUGUAUUUGUGAGGUCCUGUCCUUAACGUGCUUGAAUUAUUCUGAAAAUAUGAUGUAGGGUAUUUUUUGAGUGAUUUAUUAAGUGAGAAUAUUUUCUAUUUCAGGUGGAGACCAUAAAUUUUACACUGGAGGAAUUUCUGGACAAGAAUGAAAUAAUUCAAGAAUGCAGAUCUCUUAAUGAACGUCUUAUUAAAUUGUAAGCUUCUGAUUCUCUCAUCAUUCUAAAAUUUUAUAAUAAUUGCUUUUGAUUCUUUUGUAUUCCAUUAGAUAUAGUUCUAGACUACUACCAUAUCGUCCCUUUUAAUAAAUUUCCCUAGCAUAAUUUGAUCACGAGAACAAUUUUUAGCUCAUAGUUUCACUAAAUAUUUUUCAAGCUUUCAACGAAGAGCAAGUCUUGCGAAAAAAUAUACUGGACAAGAAAUUCGAAAGUUCAAGAAAUUGAUGAUACAACAAUGGGAUUCAGGCUUCUGAGGUUGCACAGGUAUAAGGUUUUUGCACGUAGAGUUUUUGACUUCUAAAAAUCAUGACGGCAAAGUAAUGUAAAUAACAAAAGUACAAUUCACCAAUGUUUGUUGGGAUUGAUCAAUUCAUUUGGAUUAAAAUGGCAGAAGUAAUGUUAUAAUUUCAAGGAAAUCUUAUCUAUAAGUAUGCUUGCGUGUGCUAUUUAGGGAAAAAAUGUAUCUCAUUGUUGUUGUUUUGCAGGUGAAGUGUCUAGCAUAUGCAAAAAUGUGUUCUUCAAUUGUCUCUAAACUAUCGUUGUUGGAUAUAAUUCUGAAACAUAGGAUGACAAUUAUCUAGGAAUCUUUCUCACGAGGCAAAUAUGUGAAGCGUCUUAUUACAUAAUUAGUUUGAAAUGCAUUUAAAAAAAGUAAUGAUAUUUAUGAGUAAAUAGGCAAAAAUUGACAGGUUUACAUCUUUUUGAUAUGGAAUUAUUUUAUGAAUUUCUUCGUCCUAAUUGAUAUCUUGUAAAUCAUGGCAUUUAAUUAAAAUUUUACGAGUUAAUGAAUCUUUUUAAUGAAAAUAAUGUGAACUUACGAUUUUCACCUUUGACAUAUAAAAUAUGUUAACCAAUAUGUUCCUCAUUUCAAGGAUUGGUGCUUGCAACCCUUCUUGUCAUUACUCCUUGUGUGCAUCAAAGCAGUGUCACUUAUGGACUCUUGAAUGGUGAAUGAGUUUUUUUGGGCCAAAAAGUUGCUUGGUGCAAGAACUUGGGUCUUGAAGAAGGCAUGUAGGUAUGGUUUUUGAAAGAUAACAUGACUAUGUGGCAAAUGAUUUUUUAAGUAAUGGUACUACUUCGUUGCCAAGCGGGUAAUUUGUUUGAAGCUCUAAGGUAAUGAUGAAUGUGUUAUAUGUUGUUUUCUUCUCAUGGGAUUAAACUUUUGACCAGCCAUGCAUCUCAUUUGGAAAUAAGGUGUGCGGGCCAUGUAAAUGUUUUCUAGGAUGAUGUGCAGUUUGGUUUGAGUACUCAGAUAGAACUAGCAGUAAAUCUGACAUUUUAUAAAAUCUUUGUAAGUUGGAGAACAAUUUAAUGAUGAUGAGGGAUGAGGAGUAAAAUGGCCUCAAAAGAGAAGAUAUUGGCCGCUGAUUAUAUUUGAUUGGAGUUGGACUUUCCACUCCUUGAAAUUCAGGUUUGUUGCAAAUUUCUAUGCUGAUGAAGUUUUGAUUGAUGUUUUUUUAUAACAUUUCCCUUCUUUGUGAUACAUCCUUCAUUAGAUGCUUACAAUCCUCGACUCCUCAUUUUUCUUACUGUUCAAAUGUUGACCUUAAGAGUUUUUCAUAGGACAACAUCAUGUUGGUCUUUAUUUUUGCUCAACAAACAACAGUGUGAUCACAAUUCCAUGUCCAUGAAUUUCUUGAUACUAUUCUAUCUCUACAUAGUACAAUACAUCAAAGCAUAGUGGAAAUAGUGUUUUUUGACUCGGGCUUUGAAAAUGUCACAAAAGAGGUAGUAGCAAGAGGAGGCCAAGUUUUGAUUUGAAGGCACUCCCCUUGAGGACAAACAGCAUCGAAAAGCGCCUUCUUUUAAGAAGGUAGAGCAAGUUUUUAUUCCUUUUUAUGAAAGAAAUUACUUUGUUGGGAUAUUAAACUUUAUAUGGAUUUAUGAUGAGAUUUGGUGUUUAAUAAUUUUGUUGAAUACGCAUUUUUAGUUGGUGUAAAUUUGGAGUGGGGUCUCUCAAUUUUGAAUUUUGAUAUUGGUUUUUCAUUUUGAAUUAAUGGAGAAGUAGAAAAUACUACUAAAAAAGGAAGAAUGGAUGUACAUUUAGUGGUGUUGGUAGGAGAUACUCUUUGAACAACGA
This 4304-nucleotide long non-coding RNA is filed under the name Olea europaea subsp. europaea. The record is from RNAcentral. Lineage: Eukaryota; Viridiplantae; Streptophyta; Magnoliopsida; Lamiales; Oleaceae.